RNAcentral lists this ribosomal RNA (507 nucleotides) under uncultured soil bacterium. RNAcentral describes it as "bacterial SSU rRNA". It matches the Rfam family "Bacterial small subunit ribosomal RNA", at positions 8 to 497 of the family's 1533-position model. The record is from RNAcentral.
AGAGUUUGAUCCUGGCUCAGAAUCAACGCUGGCGGCGUGCAUAACACAUGCAAGUCGAACGCGAAAGCCCCGCAAGGGGUGAGUAGAGUGGCAAACGGGUGAGUAACACGUGGGUGACCUGCCUUCGAGCGGGGGAUAACGUCCCGAAAGGGACGCUAAUACCGCAUAACAUCCUGUCUUUCAAGAGACGGUGAUCAAAGCUGGGGAUCGCAAGACCUAGCACUCGAAGAGGGGCCCGCGUCCGAUUAGCUAGUUGGUGAGGUAACGGCUCACCAAGGCAACGAUCGGUAGCCGGCCUGAGAGGGCGGACGGCCACACUGGGACUGAGACACGGCCCAGACUCCUACGGGAGGCAGCAGUGGGGAAUUGUUCGCAAUGGGCGCAAGCCUGACGACGCAACGCCGCGUGGAGGAUGAAGAUCUUCGGGUCGUCAACUCCUUUCGAUCGAGACGAAUUCCUCUGGGGUGAACAAUCCCGGAGGUGACGUACCGAGAGAGAAGCCCCCCC